This 253-nucleotide ribosomal RNA is filed under the name uncultured bacterium. Its description in RNAcentral is "partial 16S ribosomal RNA". It matches the Rfam family "Bacterial small subunit ribosomal RNA", at positions 524 to 776 of the family's 1533-position model. The record is from RNAcentral.
UACAGAGGUCCCAAGCGUUGUUCGGAUUCAUUGGGCGUAAAGGGUGCGUAGGCGGCGCGGUAAGUCGGGUGUGAAAUCUCGGGGCUUAACUCCGAAACUGCAUUCGAUACUGCCGUGCUUGAGGACUGGAGAGGAGACUGGAAUUUACGGUGUAGCGGUGAAAUGCGUAGAUAUCAUGAGGAAGACCAGUGGCGAAGGCGGGUCUCUGGACAGUUCCUGACACUGAGACACGAAGGCCAGGGGAGCAAACGGG